GGGUAGUUUGACUGGGGCGGUCUCCUCCCAAAGAGUAACGGAGGAGCACGAAGGUUAGCUAAUCACGGUCGGACAUCGUGAGGUUAGUGCAAAGGCAUAAGCUAGCUUGACUGCGAGAGUGACGGCUCGAGCAGGUACGAAAGUAGGUCUUAGUGAUCCGGUGGUUCUGAAUGGAAGGGCCAUCGCUCAACGGAUAAAAGGUACUCCGGGGAUAACAGGCUGAUACCGCCCAAGAGUUCAUAUCGACGGCGGUGUUUGGCACCUCGAUGUCGGCUCAUCACAUCCUGGGGCUGAAGUAGGUCCCAAGGGUAUGGCUGUUCGCCAUUUAAAGUGGUACGCGAGCUGGGUUUAGAACGUCGUGAGACAGUUCGGUCCCUAUCUGCCGUGGGCGUUGGAAGAUUGAGAGGGGUUGCUCCUAGUACGAGAGGACCGGAGUGAACGCACCACUGGUGUUCGGGUUGUCAUGCCAAUGGCAUUGCCCGGUAGCUAAGUGCGGAAAAGAUAAGCGCUGAAAGCAUCUAAGCGCGAAACUUGCCUCAAGAUGAGUCUUCCCUGGGCCUUUAAGGCCCCUGAAGGAACGUUUAAGACUAAGACGUUGAUAGGCUGGGUGUGUAAGUGCAGCGAUGCAUUGAGCUAACCAGUACUAAUGAUCCGUGAGGCUUAACCUUACAACACCGAAGGUGUUU
Molecule: ribosomal RNA, 686 nt
Filed under: Serratia marcescens
Lineage: Bacteria; Pseudomonadati; Pseudomonadota; Gammaproteobacteria; Enterobacterales; Yersiniaceae
Description: partial 23S ribosomal RNA
Rfam family: Bacterial large subunit ribosomal RNA
Source: RNAcentral